AAAAAGAUAAACUCUGGGUUUUCAUGUUCAACUUUGACUGUCCGUCUUAUAUGAAAUUUUUUUAUAAUUCGUAUUUUCAUUGUUGUUAGAUGAUAAAACAUGAUUAAUAUUUUAUGCGUGACUUGUCUUUUUAUUUUUUUUCAUAAUUUUUUUAAAUAAGACGGACGGUCAAAUGUUGGGCACGGAAACCAGGGUUUGUCUUUUU
This 205-nucleotide microRNA precursor is filed under the name Oryza nivara. Its description in RNAcentral is "MIR812 microRNA precursor family". It matches the Rfam family "MIR812 microRNA precursor family". Lineage: Eukaryota; Viridiplantae; Streptophyta; Magnoliopsida; Poales; Poaceae. The record is from Rfam by way of RNAcentral.